RNAcentral lists this ribosomal RNA (491 nucleotides) under uncultured bacterium. RNAcentral's name for it is "bacterial SSU rRNA". It matches the Rfam family "Bacterial small subunit ribosomal RNA", at positions 30 to 523 of the family's 1533-position model. The record is from RNAcentral.
AUUGAACGCUGGCGGAAUGCUUUACACAUGCAAGUCGAACGGCAGCACGGGGGCAACCCUGGUGGUGAGUGGCGAACGGGUGAGUAAUACAUCGGAACGUGCCCAGUCGUGGGGGAUAACGUAGCGAAAGCUACGCUAAUACCGCAUACGAUCUCUGGAUGAAAGCGGGGGACCGCAAGGCCUCGCGCGAUUGGAGCGGCCGAUGGCAGAUUAGGUAGUUGGUGGGGUAAAGGCUCACCAAGCCGACGAUCUGUAGCUGGUCUGAGAGGACGACCAGCCACACUGGGACUGAGACACGGCCCAGACUCCUACGGGAGGCAGCAGUGGGAAUUUUGGACAAUGGGCGAAAGCCUGAUCCAGCCAUUCCGCGUGCAGGAUGAAGGCCCUCGGGUGUAAACUGCUUUUAUAUGGGAGAAACCUCUGGAUGCGUCCGGAGCUGACGGUACUAUAUGAAUAAGGAUCGGCUAACUUCGUGCCAGCAGCCGCGGUAA